GACGGAGGGUGCUAGCGUUGUUCGGAAUUACUGGGCGUAAAGGGCGCGUAGGCGGCCGUUUGCGUCGGAUGUGAAAGCCCGGGGCUCAACCCCGGAACGGCAUCCGAUACGGGACGGCUGGAGACCGGGAGAGGAGGGUGGAAUAGCCAGUGUAGAGGUGAAAUUCGUAGAUAUUGGCUGGAACACCGGUGGCGAAAGCGGCUCUCUGGCCCGGUUCUGACGCUGAGGCGCGAAAGCGUGGGGAGCAAACAGGG
This 254-nucleotide ribosomal RNA is filed under the name uncultured bacterium. RNAcentral describes it as "partial 16S ribosomal RNA". It matches the Rfam family "Bacterial small subunit ribosomal RNA", at positions 524 to 777 of the family's 1533-position model. The record is from RNAcentral.